Notothenia coriiceps (black rockcod) is the source of this 270-nucleotide long non-coding RNA. RefSeq lists it as uncharacterized. The record is from RefSeq and is a predicted model, not a curated record. NCBI's taxonomy places the organism in Eukaryota, Metazoa, Chordata, Actinopteri, Perciformes, Nototheniidae. The transcript has 2 exons.
UUCUAAAUGCACUGUUCUUUGACUAUGAUCUGAAAAAAGCUGUGUUGGGGCCGAGGCUCCACAACCAGCUGGAUCCCAACGCCACUGAAGCAGAACCAGACUUUGACUUGAACGUCCUGGAAGGUUUGGCAUUGAAGAACCACGAGAUAAAGUACCUGAAAUCGACAAUAGCUGUGGUGCAGGCGGUGGUUCGCUAUGAAGACGGACUCCACGCUCAGUCAGAUUCUCGCAAGUGGGCAUACGCCGCCGGGUACUGAGGUCAUAAACUCA